Cajanus cajan (pigeon pea) is the source of this 160-nucleotide non-coding RNA. The record is from Rfam. Lineage: Eukaryota; Viridiplantae; Streptophyta; Magnoliopsida; Fabales; Fabaceae.
AUACUUACCUGGAUGGGGUCAAUGGGUGAUCAAUAAGGUCCAUAACAUAGGAGGGUGACAUUCAUUGCACUUAAGAGGGUUGCUUUCCUAAGGUCUACCCAAGUGGUAGAACCUACAUCAUAAUUUGUGGUAGUGGGGCUUGCGUUCGCGCAGCCCCUUC